This 229-nucleotide ribosomal RNA is filed under the name uncultured bacterium. RNAcentral's name for it is "partial 16S ribosomal RNA". It matches the Rfam family "Bacterial small subunit ribosomal RNA", at positions 568 to 796 of the family's 1533-position model. The record is from RNAcentral.
CGCGUAGGCGGUCUUGUCGGUCAGAUGUGAAAGCCCAGGGCUCAACCCUGGACGUGCAUUUGAAACAGCAAGACUUGAGUACGGGAAAGGAAAGCGGAAUUCCUGGUGUAGAGGUGAAAUUCGUAGAUAUCAGGAGGAACACCGAUGGCGAAGGCAGCUUUCUGGACCGAUACUGACGCUGAGGCGCGAAGGCGUGGGUAGCGAACAGGAUUAGAUACCCUGGUAGUCC